GACGAACGCUGGCGGCGUGCUUAACACAUGCAAGUCGAACGGAAAGGCCCUGCUUUUGUGGGGUGCUCGAGUGGCGAACGGGUGAGUAACACGUGAGUAACCUGCCCUUGACUUUGGGAUAACUUCAGGAAACUGGGGCUAAUACCGGAUAGGAGCUCCUGCUGCAUGGUGGGGGUUGGAAAGUUUCGGCGGUUGGGGAUGGACUCGCGGCUUAUCCGCUUGUUGGUGGGGUAGUUGCUUACCAAGGCUUUGACGGGUAGCCGGCCUGAGAGGGUGAACGGCCACAUGGGGACUGAGAUACGGAGCAGACUCCUACGGGAGGCAGUAGGGGGGAGUAUGGCACAGUGGGCGGAAGCCUGAGGCAGAAACGCCGCGUGCGGGAUGACGGCCUUCGGGUUGUAAACCGCUUUCGCCUGUGACGAAGCGGGAGUGACGGUAAUGGGUAAAGAAGCACCGGCUAACUACGUG
RNAcentral lists this ribosomal RNA (468 nucleotides) under uncultured bacterium. Its description in RNAcentral is "partial 16S ribosomal RNA". It matches the Rfam family "Bacterial small subunit ribosomal RNA", at positions 28 to 507 of the family's 1533-position model. The record is from RNAcentral.